This 72-nucleotide transfer RNA is filed under the name Fischerella sp. FACHB-380. Its description in RNAcentral is "tRNA-Trp". It matches the Rfam family "tRNA". Rfam says of the family: Transfer RNA (tRNA) molecules are approximately 80 nucleotides in length. Their secondary structure includes four short double-helical elements and three loops (D, anti-codon, and T loops). Lineage: Bacteria; Bacillati; Cyanobacteriota; Cyanophyceae; Nostocales; Hapalosiphonaceae. The record is from RNAcentral.
GCAGAGAUGGUGUUAACAGUAGCAUAGAGGUCUCCAAAACUUCUGGUCUGGGUGCAAAUCCUAGUCUCUGCG